AGAGAGACUACAGGAUUCCCCUAGUACUGCGAGUGAGCGGGAAAAGCUCAAAUUUAAAAUCUGGCGGUCUUUGGCCGUCCGAGUUGUAGUCUGGAGAAGUGCUUUCCGCGCUGGACCGUGUACAAGUCUCUUGGAACAGAGCGUCAUAGAGGGUGAGAAUCCCGUCUUUGACACGGACUACCAGUGCUUUGUGAUGCGCUCUCAAAGAGUCGAGUUGUUUGGGAAUGCAGCUCAAAAUGGGUGGUGAAUUCCAUCUAAAGCUAAAUAUUGGCGAGAGACCGAUAGCGAACAAGUACCGUGAGGGAAAGAUGAAAAGCACUUUGGAAAGAGAGUUAAACAGUACGUGAAAUUGCUGAAAGGGAAACGCUUGAAGUCAGUCGCGUUGUCCGGAACUCAGCCUUGCUUCGGCUUGGUGCACUUUCCGGAUGACGGGCCAGCAUCGAUUUUGACCGCCGGAAAAGGGUAGGAGAAAUGUGGCACCUUCGGGUGUGUUAUAGUCUCCUAUCGCAUACGGCGGUUGGGAUCGAGGAACGCAGCGCGCCUUAUGGCUGGGGUUCGCCCACAUUCGCGCUUAGGAUGCUGGCAUAAUGGCUUUAAACGACCCGUCUUGAAACACGGACCAAGGAGUCUAACAUACCUGCGAGUGUUUGGGUGGAAAACCCGAGCGCGUAAUGAAAGUGAAAGUUGAGACCUCUGUCGUGGAGGGCAUCGACGCCCGGACCUGACGUUCUCUGACGGAUCCGCGGUAGAGCAUGUAUGUUGGGACCCGAAAGAUGGUGAACUAUGCCCUGAUAGGGUGAAGCCAGAGGAAACUCUGGUGGAGGCUCGUAGCGAUUCUGACGUGCAAAUCGAUCGUCAAAAUUGGGUAUAGGGGCGAAAGACUAAUCGAACCAUCUAGUAGCUGGUUCCUGCCGAGUUUCCCCCCCGGA
Molecule: ribosomal RNA, 929 nt
Filed under: Coriolopsis sp. BR311
Lineage: Eukaryota; Fungi; Basidiomycota; Agaricomycetes; Polyporales; Polyporaceae
Description: eukaryotic LSU rRNA
Rfam family: Eukaryotic large subunit ribosomal RNA
Source: RNAcentral